This 1488-nucleotide ribosomal RNA is filed under the name Alternaria citri. Its description in RNAcentral is "bacterial SSU rRNA". The stretch from base 862 to 1488 matches the Rfam family "Eukaryotic large subunit ribosomal RNA", at positions 1 to 643 of the family's 3401-position model. The record is from RNAcentral. Lineage: Eukaryota; Fungi; Ascomycota; Dothideomycetes; Pleosporales; Pleosporaceae.
ACAGGUCUGUGAUGCCCUUAGAUGUUCUGGGCCGCACGCGCGCUACACUGACAGAGCCAACGAGUUCUUUUCCUUGUUCGAAAGAAUUGGGUAAUCUUGUUAAACUCUGUCGUGCUGGGGAUAAAGCAUUGCAAUUAUUGCUUUUCAACGAGGAAUGCCUAGUAAGCGCGUGUCAUCAGCAUGCGUUGAUUACGUCCCUGACCUUUGUACACACCGCCCGUCGCUACUACCGAUUGAAUGGCUCAGUGAGGCCUUCGGACUGGCUCGAGGAGGUUGGCAACGACCACCUCAAGCCGGAAAGUUCGUCAAACUCGGUCAUUUAGAGGAAGUAAAAGUCGUAACAAGGUCUCCGUAGGUGAACCUGCGGAGGGAUCAUUACACAAAUAUGAAGGCGGGCUGGAACCUCUCGGGGGUUACAGCCUUGCUGAAUUAUUCACCCUUGUCUUUUGCGUACUUCUUGUUUCCUUGGUGGGUUCGCCCACCACUAGGACAAACAUAAACCUUUUGUAAUUGCAAUCAGCGUCAGUAACAAAUUAAUAAUUACAACUUUCAACAACGGAUCUCUUGGUUCUGGCAUCGAUGAAGAACGCAGCGAAAUGCGAUAAGUAGUGUGAAUUGCAGAAUUCAGUGAAUCAUCGAAUCUUUGAACGCACAUUGCGCCCUUUGGUAUUCCAAAGGGCAUGCCUGUUCGAGCGUCAUUUGUACCCUCAAGCUUUGCUUGGUGUUGGGCGUCUUGUCUCUAGCUUUGCUGGAGACUCGCCUUAAAGUAAUUGGCAGCCGGCCUACUGGUUUCGGAGCGCAGCACAAGUCGCACUCUCUAUCAGCAAAGGUCUAGCAUCCAUUAAGCCUUUUUUCAACUUUUGACCUCGGAUCAGGUAGGGAUACCCGCUGAACUUAAGCAUAUCAAUAAGCGGAGGAAAAGAAACCAACAGGGAUUGCCCUAGUAACGGCGAGUGAAGCGGCAACAGCUCAAAUUUGAAAUCUGGCUCUUUUAGAGUCCGAGUUGUAAUUUGCAGAGGGCGCUUUGGCUUUGGCAGCGGUCCAAGUUCCUUGGAACAGGACGUCACAGAGGGUGAGAAUCCCGUACGUGGUCGCUGGCUAUUGCCGUGUAAAGCCCCUUCGACGAGUCGAGUUGUUUGGGAAUGCAGCUCUAAAUGGGAGGUACAUUUCUUCUAAAGCUAAAUAUUGGCCAGAGACCGAUAGCGCACAAGUAGAGUGAUCGAAAGAUGAAAAGCACUUUGGAAAGAGAGUCAAACAGCACGUGAAAUUGUUGAAAGGGAAGCGCUUGCAGCCAGACUUGCUUACAGUUGCUCAUCCGGGUUUUUACCCGGUGCACUCUUCUGUAGGCAGGCCAGCAUCAGUUUGGGCGGUAGGAUAAAGGUCUCUGUCACGUACCUCCUUUCGGGGAGGCCUUAUAGGGGAGACGACAUACUACCAGCCUGGACUGAGGUCCGCGCAUCUGCUAGGAUGCUGGCGUAAUGGCUGUAA